GUGGGGAAUCUUGCGCAAUGGGCGAAAGCCUGACGCAGCGACGCCGCGUGAGUGAUGAAGGCCUUCGGGUUGUAAAGCUCUGUGGAGAGGGACGAAUAAGUCGUGGCCAAUAUCCACGGUGAUGACGGUACCUCUUUAGCAAGCACCGGCUAACUCUGUGCCAGCAGCCGCGGUAAGACAGAGGGUGCAAACGUUGUUCGGAAUUACUGGGCGUAAAGCGCGUGUAGGCUGCUCUGUAGGUCGGAUGUGAAAGCCCUGGGCUCAACCUAGGAAGUGCAUUCGAAACCACAAAGCUUGAGUCCUGGAGAGGAAGGCGGAAUUCUCGGUGUAGAGGUGAAAUUCGUAGAUAUCGAGAGGAACACCGGUGGCGAAGGCGGCCUUCUGGACAGUGACUGACGCUGAGACGCGAAAGCGUGGGGAGCAAACAGGAUUAGAUACCCUUGUAGUCC
Molecule: ribosomal RNA, 449 nt
Filed under: uncultured bacterium
Lineage: Bacteria
Description: bacterial SSU rRNA
Rfam family: Bacterial small subunit ribosomal RNA
Source: RNAcentral